Molecule: long non-coding RNA, 536 nt
Organism: Orcinus orca (killer whale)
Lineage: Eukaryota; Metazoa; Chordata; Mammalia; Artiodactyla; Delphinidae
Exons: 3
Source: RefSeq, a predicted model, not a curated record
CCUGAAGACUAACCUCAAGAAAGAACUGAAAUGUGAUUUUUAAGCACAUUGUCAAUAUUAAUGUUAUUAUGCUUAUUUAAUAAUAGUAUUUUCUUCUCUCCUUAUAGAUGUAUGUGCCUGAAAACUGAUAUUGAACUAUGACAAUAAGCUUAGCCUUCAGGGGAGACACCUGAUAUGUUCUUUGGCUGGUGUGAAAGGGGAAACAGCACCCUGCUUUACCAGGUUAACAGUACUCUUUCUUCCACUGUCACCUAAUCCUCAGCGCUAGAAUGAGAUGGACACAAAAGCUGUAUUGAGGAUGUAAGAGAAGUUGCUCUGCACUUCCACGGCCUUUCAGUUGGAAGAUGAAAUAUCAUGUUUAUGUGCUAUGGGAGUGAUCCUCUUGUAAAGACACUAUUGUUAAUGAAGGCGGGAGAAGAAAGAAUUUCAUCUGUAGUGAUGAACAGCCUCCUUUUAGAGCCAGCUUGGGACUGGAAGAAUGUCAUAUGACCAGCGUACAGUAUCUACUGUUUCUACAGUCAUCAGAGAUAACACAG